GACGAACCGUGCAAACGUUGUUCGGAAUCACUGGGCUUAAAGGGCGCGUAGGCGGGCCACCAAGUCCGGGGUGAAAUCUUUCGGCUCAACCGGAAAAUUGCCUUGGGUACUGGUGGUCUGGAGGGAGGUAGGGGCAUGUGGAACUUCCGGUGGAGCGGUGAAAUGCGUUGAUAUCGGAAGGAACGCCGGUGGCGAAAGCGACGUGCUGGACCUCUUCUGACGCUGAGGCGCGAAAGCUAGGGGAGCGAACGGG
This 253-nucleotide ribosomal RNA is filed under the name uncultured bacterium. RNAcentral describes it as "partial 16S ribosomal RNA". It matches the Rfam family "Bacterial small subunit ribosomal RNA", at positions 524 to 776 of the family's 1533-position model. The record is from RNAcentral.